Molecule: unclassified non-coding RNA, 204 nt
Filed under: Hevea brasiliensis (rubber tree)
Lineage: Eukaryota; Viridiplantae; Streptophyta; Magnoliopsida; Malpighiales; Euphorbiaceae
Source: RNAcentral
AAGUGAGUUGUGAGAAAUACUUGUGUGUGAGUGCCAUCGAAGUAAGAGUGUGAGUGUUUGAUUAGUAAGGUGAAAGUAGUGUGCACGUGUGUGAGUGAAGAAAGUGAGUGUGUGCUACAGUGUGGUGAGAUACACCAAAGUUUAGGGUGGGUGAGUUGUAAAUUUCAGUUUAGUUCUUCCCAAUAAAAGUUUUCUUCACUCAAG